This 229-nucleotide ribosomal RNA is filed under the name uncultured bacterium. RNAcentral's name for it is "partial 16S ribosomal RNA". It matches the Rfam family "Bacterial small subunit ribosomal RNA", at positions 1272 to 1500 of the family's 1533-position model. The record is from RNAcentral.
CCCAAAAAUAAACGUCCCAGUUCGGAUUGUAGUCUGCAACCCGACUACAUGAAGCUGGAAUCGCUAGUAAUCGCGGAUCAGAAUGCCGCGGUGAAUACGUUCCCGGGUCUUGUACACACCGCCCGUCACACCAUGGGAGCCGGAAAUGCCCGAAGUCAGUGACCCAACCGCAAGGAGGGAGCUGCCGAAGGCAGGAUUGAUGACUGGGGUGAAGUCGUAACAAGGUACC